Molecule: long non-coding RNA, 673 nt
Organism: Micropterus dolomieu (smallmouth bass)
Lineage: Eukaryota; Metazoa; Chordata; Actinopteri; Centrarchiformes; Centrarchidae
Exons: 2
Source: RefSeq, a predicted model, not a curated record
UCAAAAGAGUGUGUGUCCGAUAAUGGAUGCCAUUAAACGUCCUUUUACUCAAACUGCCACUUUUACCUUUUGAGGCUGCGACGGUCGAAAGCGAGUGCAUGUACGGGGUCUCCCAGCGCUCCAUCACGGGUUUGCCCAUGAUCUCCAGGUGUGUGUCGGUUUCAUUGUAGCCGGCGUUUGCGUCGUGCCAGGAGGCCUUGCAGUCCUCGCCUUUGGAGAAUAUGGCCUGAGCGGCGGAGGUCAUGUUGUUGUGAUACGGAGGAGGCGGUGGUUGUUCGUUUGGCUCUGGGAAACGGUUUGGCCGGCCGUUCUCUCAACAUGGAAGAGGGUGAAAGGCAGGAGGCGGCCGUUUAUAUCGGACUCAGAAGUGCUGACACCGCAGUAGUUUCACUACAGGUCAAAAGCGCGCACACACAUUCCCAGACAAGGAACGGAGCCCAAGAUCCUCUGGAGAGAAGAUGGUUCGCUCAGCAGUAAACAACUGGCUCACUUUAGUUUUGCAACAUUGGGCUUCUAGUGGAGUAACAACUAUGGGGCAUGAGGACAGUGAUUUCCAAAAGACUCCAGGAAGUUGCUGUGUCUGGCCAGGAAAUAACACAUAACACCCCUAAAACUGAAACAUUUUGUCUUUACACCUAGGUUUUUCUUUACACAUUAAACAAAUUAUAUCUCA